RNA transcript from Solanum dulcamara, 2518 nucleotides. It is a transcript of the gene named pentatricopeptide repeat-containing protein At1g08070, chloroplastic-like, with no coding region annotated. NCBI's taxonomy places the organism in Eukaryota, Viridiplantae, Streptophyta, Magnoliopsida, Solanales, Solanaceae. The record is from RefSeq and is a predicted model, not a curated record. The transcript has 2 exons.
UAUGCACUCUCAUGUCAAAUGUGCAACCAAAUGGUGAGGCUUCCCUCCAAACUCAAACCUCCAAAACCCAAAACACUAAUCUCUCUUCCUACAACCCUUGCAUCUCAAACUCAAAAAUCACCUUAUCACACAUUCUCUAUAUCUCUUUUGCAAACCCAUAAACUCUUCAGCCAUUUCACCCAAAUCCUCUCUCAUGCCAUUACUUCAGGCUAUUUCACAAAUCCAUACAUAUCCAGCCAACUCCUCCACCAUUGUCUUUCAAAUCCUGACUUCCCCCUCACCUUUUCUCACACCCUUUUCACUCAAAUUCCUAACCCCAAUGUCUUUUCUUGGAAUUUCCUCCUCCGCGCAUACUCCCACAGUUCAUUCCCCCAAGAAGCCAUUAGUCUUUACAAUCAAAUGAUGCAGAAAAGUGUGAUUCUUGAUAAUUUCACUUUCCCUUUUGUACUGAAAGCUUGUAGUCGAUUAAUUAGUUUUCACAAGGGUCUUGAAGUUCAUUGUGUGAGUCUGAAAUUGGGGUUUGAAUUUGAUGUUUUCGUGCAAAAUUCGUUGAUUUAUAUGUAUUUCCAAUGUGGGGUUGUUGAGUUUGCACAGAAGGUGUUUGAUUUUAUUCCUGAUUCAGUUCGUGAUGUUGUCACUUGGAAUAGCAUGAUUUCUGGGUAUUUACAAGGUGGGUGUUGUCAUCAUGCAGUGAAGGUAUUUGGAAAAUUGUUGCGCGAAAGUGAUGUGAGGUUAAAUGAUGUAAGUAUUGUGAGUGCUCUUACAGCUUGUGCAAGAACUGAGUUGCUUGAUGUGGGGAAGAAGAUUCACGGGUUGAUUGUGGUCUAUGGACUUGUCAUGGAUGUCUUCUUAGGUUCUUCUUUGGUUGAUAUGUACACGAAAUGUGGGUAUUUAGAAGAUGCUAAGACUGUUUUUGACAGAUUGUUAGAUAGAAAUGCAGUCUGUUGGACUUCUAUGAUUGCAGGUUAUUUAAAAUGUGAUAUGUGUAAGGAAGCAAUAGAGUUAUUUAGGGAGAUGCUGGUGGCUGGUGUUAAGGCAGAACCUGCCACAAUUGCUUGUGUUGUUUCUGCAUGCGGGCAUUCAGGUGCACUGGAUCUCGGAAGGUGGGUGCAUAAUUAUAGCGAAAGGAAUGGAAUAGAAAUGAACCUUAUAGUGAAAAAUUCUGUGAUUGACAUGUACUCUAAAUGUGGACUAGUUGAUAAAGCUCUUAAAGUUUUCCAUUCAUUAACAAAUAAGGAUGUUUAUUCGUGGAGUAUGAUGAUUUCUGGGCUAGCUAUGAAUGCAAGAUCUGAUGACGCUUUGGAAUUAUUUUCACUAAUGGAAGGAUCAGGUGAAGUAAGUCCAAAUGUAGUAACAUUUCUUGGAAUCUUAUCUGCCUGUAAUCAUGGUGGAUUUGUUGAUGAAGGGUUUUACUAUUUUGAGAAAAUGACCAGGCGAUACAAAUUAUCCCCAGGGAUUGAGCACUAUGGUUGCCUGGUUGAUCUUUUGGGUCGUGCAAAUCUUCUGGUAGAGGCUAUGGAUUUGAUAGGUUCCAUGCCCAUUCAGCCGGAUGCUGUCAUUUGGCGAUCCCUGCUUUUUGCUUGUAGUAGAUAUGGGAAUGUAGAGUUGGCCGAGGUUGCUGCCAAAAAGAUUAACGAAUUGGAGCCAGACAAGUGUGGGGCGUAUGUACUGUUGUCUAACGCUUAUGCCUCUGCAUCUAGGUGGAAGGAUGUAAAGAUGGUAAGGAGGAAUAUGGGUGCUGAGGGAAUCCAAAAGCAACCUGGAUACUCUUUUACUGAAAUAGAUGGCCUUGUUCAUGAAUUUCUUGUUGCUGAUAGAACGCACUGUCAAAUUGACAUCAUAUGUGAUACACUUCUGGCAAUGAAUGUAGUUCUAAAAUCAAGAGCACCUGAGCUUGUUUUCCUGGAUUUCUUACAUUAAUAUGAGAACAUCCACAUUGUUGCGUGAUAUGAUCCCCUCAUGUAAGCCCACUGACUCAUUUCUUCAGAUACAAAUGGCUAUUGCAUAUUUGCAUGAUGGAACUGUUGAAAAUGCAAAAUCCGACAGUGCAGGGUUUCUUACUGGUUGGGACUCAAGGUGCUCGUAUUUUGCUGGAAGUAUGAUAAAGGUCUACCUGCAGCUGCUUAGCUAUGCUCAAGGUGUUGUUAAAAAAGUGACAUUUGACAUGACUAAUCAUUACUUUUAUUCUAUGAUUAUUACACUUUGGUUAAUAAAGAAGAAUACCUAUUGGCCAGUAAGUAACUCGUGGAUUAAAUAUGGUCGUCCUAAAGAAAUUAGAGGUCAGUUGGUUAUGUUCCUUGUGAACAGAGCUUUUGUGGAUCCGAGACAAAUUGUUGCUGGUAUUCUUACUGUUACUAUGUUUGUGAUGCUCGGCAACAUGAUCACGAGGGAUUACUUUUAUCCAGUAAUUCGCCCUUGCAAUUUUUUUAUUUUGAUUUUGAGUUCAUUUGAUGUUAUGCUCCUUUUGGUUGCGGUGGAUUUGUACAUCUCCAUUAGUGCCUUUCCAACUUCAGUCCAA